GACGAACGCUGGCGGCGUGCUUAACACAUGCAAGUCGAACGGAAAGGCCCUGCUUUUGUGGGGUGCUCGAGUGGCGAACGGGUGAGUAACACGUGAGUAACCUGCCCUUGACUUUGGGAUAACUUCAGGAAACUGGGGCUAAUACCGGAUAGGAGCUCCUGCUGCAUGGUGGGGGUUGGAAAGUUUCGGCGGUUGGGGAUGGACUCGCGGCUUAUCAGCUUGUUGGUGGGGUAGUGACUUACCAAGGCUUUGACGGGUAGCCGGCCUGAGAGGGUGACCGGCCACAUUGGGACUGAGAUACGGCCCAGACUCCUACGGGAGGCAGCAGUGGGGAAUAUUGCACAAUGGGCGGAAGCCUGAUGCAGCAACGCCGCGUGCGGGAUGACGGCCUUCGGGUUGUAAACCGCUUUCGCCUGUGACGAAGCGUGAGUGACGGUAAUGGGUAAAGAAGCACCGGCUAACUACGU
RNAcentral lists this ribosomal RNA (467 nucleotides) under uncultured bacterium. RNAcentral describes it as "partial 16S ribosomal RNA". It matches the Rfam family "Bacterial small subunit ribosomal RNA", at positions 28 to 506 of the family's 1533-position model. The record is from RNAcentral.